RNAcentral lists this ribosomal RNA (492 nucleotides) under uncultured bacterium. RNAcentral describes it as "partial 16S ribosomal RNA". It matches the Rfam family "Bacterial small subunit ribosomal RNA", at positions 29 to 507 of the family's 1533-position model. The record is from RNAcentral.
AGUGAACGCUGGCGGUAGGCCUAACACAUGCAAGUCGAACGGCAGCACAGUAAGAGCUUGCUCUUACGGGUGGCGAGUGGCGGACGGGUGAGGAAUACAUCGGAAUCUACUUUUUCGUGGGGGAUAACGUAGGGAAACUUACGCUAAUACCGCAUACGACCUACGGGUGAAAGCAGGGGAUCUUCGGACCUUGCGCGAUUGAAUGAGCCGAUGUCGGAUUAGCUAGUUGGCGGGGUAAAGGCCCACCAAGGCGACGAUCCGUAGCUGGUCUGAGAGGAUGGUCAGCCACACUGGAACUGAGACACGAUCCAGACUCCUACGGGAGGCAGCAGUGGGGAAUAUUGGACAAUGGGCGCAAGCCUGAUCCAGCCAUACCGCGUGGGUGAAGAAGGCCUUCGGGUUGUAAAGCCCUUUUGUUGGGAAAGAAAAGCAGCAGGUUAAUACCCCGCUGUUCUGACGGUACCCAAAGAAUAAGCACCGGCUAACUUCGUG